CCUACGGGAGGCAGCAGUGGGGGAUAUUGCACAAUGGGGGGAACCCUGAUGCAGCGACGCCGCGUGGGUGAAGAAGCGCCUCGGCGCGUAAAGCCCUGUCAGCAGGGAAGAAAAUGACGGUACCUGAAGAAGAAGCCCCGGCUAACUACGUGCCAGCAGCCGCGGUAAUACGUACGGGGCAAGCGUUAUCCGGAUGUACUGGGUGUAAAGGGGGCGCAGACGGCGAUGCAAGCCAGGAGUGAAAGCCCGGGGGCGAACCCCGGGACUGCUCUUGGAACUGCGUGGCUGGAGUGAAGGAGGGGCAGGCGGAAUUCCUGGUGUAGCGGUGAAAUGCGUAGAUAUCAGGAGGAACACCGGUGGCGAAGGCGGCCGGCUGGACUGCAACUGACGUUGAGGCCCGAAAGCGUGGGGAGCAAACAGGAUUAGAUACCCUUGUAGUC
This 440-nucleotide ribosomal RNA is filed under the name uncultured bacterium. RNAcentral's name for it is "partial 16S ribosomal RNA". It matches the Rfam family "Bacterial small subunit ribosomal RNA", at positions 338 to 795 of the family's 1533-position model. The record is from RNAcentral.